UAUAGGUCACGAAAAAAACAUCAACAGAGAUAAUUACCAAUGUCCAAUUGGACUCAGGGAGGUCAAAGUAAUGGGCCGCAUGUUGGGAGAUCUUGAAAAUGUACCAGAACCAGCAACGGAUUUAACCACUAUACAAACAGUUGAGGCAAGUGCAACUGAAACUAAAGAGAUUGGUAAAAAUGAAGAACUUCAGUGAGAAUAAAAUCUAACAUGUAAUCCUGUUACAUUGAUUGUAGAGGG
Lingula anatina is the source of this 240-nucleotide long non-coding RNA. The record is from RefSeq and is a predicted model, not a curated record. NCBI's taxonomy places the organism in Eukaryota, Metazoa, Brachiopoda, Lingulata, Lingulida, Lingulidae.